UUUUUUUAUGCGUCAGUAUACAUCGCGUCUGCUACCUCAUUGACCCAUGUCUUUUGAGUACCUUCGUUUCCUCGGCGGGUCCGCCCGCCGAUUGGACAACAUUCAAACCCUUUGCAGUUGCAAUCAGCGUCUGAAAAAACAUAAUAGUUACAACUUUCAACAACGGAUCUCUUGGUUCUGGCAUCGAUGAAGAACGCAGCGAAAUGCGAUAAGUAGUGUGAAUUGCAGAAUUCAGUGAAUCAUCGAAUCUUUGAACGCACAUUGCGCCCCUUGGUAUUCCAUGGGGCAUGCCUGUUCGAGCGUCAUUUGUACCUUCAAGCUCUGCUUGGUGUUGGGUGUUUGUCUCGCCUCUGCGUGUAGACUCGCCUUAAAACAAUUGGCAGCCGGCGUAUUGAUUUCGGAGCGCAGUACAUCUCGCGCUUUGCACUCAUAACGACGACGUCCAAAAGUACAUUUUUACACUCUUGACCUCGGAUCAGGUAGGGAUACCCGCUGAACUUAAGCAUAUCAAAAGCGGGGAGGGAAA
Molecule: ribosomal RNA, 526 nt
Filed under: Epicoccum nigrum
Lineage: Eukaryota; Fungi; Ascomycota; Dothideomycetes; Pleosporales; Didymellaceae
Description: eukaryotic LSU rRNA
Rfam family: 5.8S ribosomal RNA (bases 152-305)
Source: RNAcentral